RNAcentral lists this ribosomal RNA (439 nucleotides) under uncultured bacterium. Its description in RNAcentral is "partial 16S ribosomal RNA". It matches the Rfam family "Bacterial small subunit ribosomal RNA", at positions 339 to 795 of the family's 1533-position model. The record is from RNAcentral.
CUACGGGUGGCUGCAGUGGGGAAUCUUAGACAAUGGGGGAAACCCUGAUCUAGCCAUGCCGCGUGAUCGAUGAAGGCCUUAGGGUUGUAAAGAUCUUUCAGGUGGGAAGAUAAUGACUGUACCACCAGAAGAAGCCCCGGCUAACUCCGUGCCAGCAGCCGCGGUAAUACGGAGGGGGCUAGCGUUAUUCGGAAUUACUGGGCGUAAAGCGCACGUAGGCGGACCAGAAAGUCAGAGGUGAAAGCCCGGGGCUCAACCCCGGAACUGCCUUUGAAACUCCUGGUCUUGAGGUCGAGAGGGGGGAGUGGAAUUCCGGGUGUAGAGGUGAAAUUCGUAGAUAUUCGGAGGAACACCAGUGGCGAAGGCGGCUCACUGGCUCGAUACUGACGCUGAGGUGCGAAAGCGUGGGGAGCAAACAGGAUUAGAUACCCUCGUAGUC